RNAcentral lists this ribosomal RNA (450 nucleotides) under uncultured bacterium. Its description in RNAcentral is "bacterial SSU rRNA". It matches the Rfam family "Bacterial small subunit ribosomal RNA", at positions 354 to 796 of the family's 1533-position model. The record is from RNAcentral.
GUGGGGAAUUUUGGACAAUGGGGGCAACCCUGAUCCAGCCAUGCCGCGUGCGGGAAGAAGGCCUUCGGGUUGUAAACCGCUUUUAGCCGGGACGAAAGCUGCACGGAUAACACCCGUGCGGGUUGACGGUACCGGCGGAAUAAGCACCGGCUAACUACGUGCCAGCAGCCGCGGUAAUACGUAGGGUGCGAGCGUUAAUCGGAAUUACUGGGCGUAAAGCGUGCGCAGGCGGUUCGUUGUGUCGGCGGUGAAAGCCCCGGGCUCAACCUGGGAAUGGCCGUUGAAACUGGCGAACUGGAGUGUGGCAGAGGGGGGUGGAAUUCCGCGUGUAGCAGUGAAAUGCGUAGAGAUGCGGAGGAACACCGAUGGCGAAGGCAGCCCCCUGGGCUGACACUGACGCUCAGGCACGAAAGCGUGGGGAGCAAACAGGAUUAGAUACCCCAGUAGUCC